UUCCGGUUGAUCCUGCCGGACCUGACUGCUAUCGGAUUGAUACUAAGCCAUGCGAGUCUUUGUAGUAAUACAAGGCAUACGGCUCAGUAACACGUAGUCAACCUACCCUAUGGACGAGAAUAAUCUCGGGAAACUGAGCAUAAUUCUUGAUAGAUCAUAAUGCCUGGAAUGGUUUAUGGUUAAAAUGAUUCGUCGCCAUAGGAUGGGACUGCGGCCUAUCAGCUUGUUGGUGAGGUAAUGGCCCACCAAGGCGAUUACAGGUACGGGCUCUGAGAGGAGAAGCCCGGAGAUGGGUACUGAGACACGGACCCAGGCCCUAUGGGGCGCAGCAGGCGAGAAAACUUUGCAAUGUGCGAAAGCACGACAAGGUUAAUCCGAGUGAUUUCUGCUAAAGAAAUCUUUUACCAGUCGUAAAACCGCUGGUGAAUAAGGGGUGGGCAAGUUCUGGUGUCAGCCGCCGCGGUAAAACCAGCACCUCAAGUGGUCAGGAGGAUUAUUGGGCCUAAAGCAUCCGUAGCCGGCUCUGUAAGUUUUCGGUUAAAUCCAUGUGCUCAACGCAUGGGCUGCCGAAAAUACUGCAUAGCUAGGGAGUGGGAGAGGUAGACGGUACUCGGUAGGAAGGGGUAAAAUCCUUUGAUCUAUCGAUGACCACCUGUGGCGAAGGCGGUCUACCAGAACACGUUCGACGGUGAGGGAUGAAAGCUGGGGGAGCAAACCGGAUUAGAUACCCGGGUAGUCCCAGCUGUAAACGAUGCAGACUCGAUGAUGCAUUGGCAUAUAGCCAGUGCAGUGUCGCAGGGAAGCCGUUAAGUCUGCCGCCUGGGAAGUACGUACGCAAGUAUGAAACUUAAAGGAAUUGGCGGGGGAGCACCACAAGGGGUGAAGCCUGCGGUUCAAUUGGAGUCAACGCCGGG
Molecule: ribosomal RNA, 914 nt
Filed under: uncultured marine archaeon
Lineage: Archaea
Description: bacterial SSU rRNA
Rfam family: Archaeal small subunit ribosomal RNA
Source: RNAcentral